GGUGCCAUACUGUGGGGAUAAGAUCAA
This 27-nucleotide non-coding RNA is filed under the name Cricetulus griseus (Chinese hamster). Lineage: Eukaryota; Metazoa; Chordata; Mammalia; Rodentia; Cricetidae. The record is from RNAcentral.